AGGAUAAACGCUGGCGGCGUGCCUAAUGCAUGCAAGUCGCACGGAGUGGCACUUCGGUGCCAUUGAGUGGCGAACGGGUGAGGAACGCGUGGACAACCUACCCCGGCGUGGGGGAUACCCGCCAGAAAUGGCGGCUAAUACCGCGUACGGUUGCUGGACGGCGGGUCUGGCAAAGAAAGCAGUAAUGCGCGCUGGGAGGGGUCUGCGGCCGAUUAGCUAGUUGGCGGGGUAGUGGCCCACCAAGGCGAUGAUCGGUAGCUGGUCUGAGAGGAUGAUCAGCCACACGGGGACUGAGACACGGCCCCGACUCCUACGGGAGGCAGCAGCAAGGAAUUUUCCGCAAUGGGGGCAACCCUGACGGAGCAACGCCGCGUGACGGAUGACGCCUCGUUGGGUGUAAACGUCUUUGCCGGGAAGAGAACGGACGGUACCCGGCGAAUCGAGGACCGGCUAACUACGUGCCAGCAGCCGC
Molecule: ribosomal RNA, 472 nt
Filed under: uncultured bacterium
Lineage: Bacteria
Description: SSU rRNA
Rfam family: Bacterial small subunit ribosomal RNA
Source: RNAcentral